This 253-nucleotide ribosomal RNA is filed under the name uncultured bacterium. RNAcentral describes it as "partial 16S ribosomal RNA". It matches the Rfam family "Bacterial small subunit ribosomal RNA", at positions 524 to 776 of the family's 1533-position model. The record is from RNAcentral.
UACAGAGGCCUCGAGCGUUAGGCGGAAUCACUGGGCUUAAAGCGUGUGUAGGCGGGUCGUUAAGUGCUUUGUGAAAUCCCCUGGCUCAACCAGGGAACUGCUCGGCAUACUGGCGAUCUUGAGAUACCUAGGGGCAACUGGAACAGACGGUGGAGCGGUGAAAUGCGUAGAGAUGUGGAGGAACACCAGUGGCGAAGGCGACUCUUUGGCCUGUAACUGACGCUGAGGCGCGAAAGCGUGGGGAGCAAACAGG